This 924-nucleotide long non-coding RNA is filed under the name Homo sapiens (human). RNAcentral's name for it is "HSALNT0208717". Lineage: Eukaryota; Metazoa; Chordata; Mammalia; Primates; Hominidae. The record is from RNAcentral.
GAUGGGGAGAAGGCCUGAUGAAAAUUACUGAGGAAGCCUCUUAGCCUAUGUGCUCUGAGAGUAGUGACACCUAGCAGUCGUUCAAAAGAUGAUCAAGAGGAGCAUGAAAAAAUCCCCUGAAUCCAUUGGCUUUCUUCCCUAUACUGACAACAGUUUACUUGUGUAAGAGAUGCAUGCCUCGACUCCGGACCCCUUCUUUCAUCUGCAAAAUCAGCAGCACCCUCACAUCAUCUCCUGUAACAAACUCUCUCUGUCUCCUCCAUAUAAGGUCACUGAUGGUUACAUUUAGGGUCCAUGAUAUAAGAAGAUGGAUGUCUAUUGCUUUUCUCUUGAUAUUCAUGGCACUGCUCCUCUCCAUCCAUAGGAUUAUCUUAUGCCCUGUGGCAUUUAUCAUUUUGGACCCUAUCUCUCUCCUAUCUAUAUUGGACUAUGGUGGCACACAGAGUGUUGUAGAGAUGAGGGUCUCAUCCUUUUGCCCAGGCUGGAGUACAGUGGUGUGUAUGUAGCACACUGCAGCCUUCAACUCCUGAUCCUCCAACCUCAGCCUCCACAGUUGCUGGGAUUACAAGUUCAAGUUGGUGUGUAUCUGCAAAGGCGAUGGAAAGGAGUUCUUACAUAUGCAUAUUCUGAAGAAGGAUGUUACCCUUACUGAAAAACUUAUUCCAAGAUAUGUUUAAUCAAUCAUGAGAAAAAUAAAGAGACAUCCUUAUGAAUGGAGAAUAAAGUCCUCAGGGUUUUUUUCUAAUUCCCCAUGUGAAUGAAGAGCUGUGUUAUUCUAAAUAUAGUGUUUGUCAUAAGGCAAUUGUGUUGGUUUGAGUCCUUAGUCGCUGUGACACUGAUAGAAUUCCUAUCUCCAAUUGGAAGGUAAGUUGACCUUGCCUCACUUUUGGGCAUUUACAAAGUAAAAGUGUCUUCAUAUUCCAG